Molecule: small nuclear RNA, 270 nt
Filed under: Meriones unguiculatus (Mongolian gerbil)
Lineage: Eukaryota; Metazoa; Chordata; Mammalia; Rodentia; Muridae
Description: 7SK RNA (ENSMUGG00000002798.1)
Rfam family: 7SK RNA
About the family: 7SK was discovered as an abundant small nuclear RNA in the mid-70s but a possible function has only recently been suggested. Two independent studies have found that 7SK RNA binds the CDK9/cyclin T complex (known as elongation factor P-TEFb).
Source: RNAcentral
GCAUGUGAGGGUGAUAUGGUUGUAACAUUUGUCUCCCUGGCAUUGAUACCAGGGUUGAUUCAGUUGAUCUGGCUGCCUAGGCGGGUACCCCCUUCCUCCCUUACUGACCCAUGUGUGGUAGGAGAGGACAAACUUCCCUGAGGACUGGUCCUUGGUCAAGGAUAUAAGAGUAGCUAUGCUCUCCUGCUAGAACCUCCAAACAAGCUCAAGGGCUUUGAAGUUUUAAAAACCCAUGCCAAGGAUAUUCCCCAUUUCUACUUGUAGAUCAUG